GACGAACCGUGCGAACGUUGUUCGGAUUCACUGGGCUUAAAGGGCGCGUAGGCGGGUCAGCAAGUCCGGGGUGAAAGCUUUCGGCUCAACCGGAAAAGGGCCUUGGAUACUGCUGGUCUGGAGGAAGGUAGGGGCGUGUGGAACUUCCGGUGUAGCGGUGAAAUGCGCAGAUAUCGGGAAGAACACCCGUGGCGAAGGCGGUUCUCUGGGACGGUACUGACGCUGAGACGCGAAAGCGUGGGGAGCGAACAGG
RNAcentral lists this ribosomal RNA (253 nucleotides) under uncultured bacterium. Its description in RNAcentral is "partial 16S ribosomal RNA". It matches the Rfam family "Bacterial small subunit ribosomal RNA", at positions 524 to 776 of the family's 1533-position model. The record is from RNAcentral.